This 473-nucleotide ribosomal RNA is filed under the name uncultured bacterium. Its description in RNAcentral is "bacterial SSU rRNA". It matches the Rfam family "Bacterial small subunit ribosomal RNA", at positions 40 to 518 of the family's 1533-position model. The record is from RNAcentral.
CGGCGCGCCUAACACAUAGCAAGUCGAACGGGCUUUAAAGAAGCUUGCUUUUUAAAGUCUAGUGGCGGACGGGUGAGUAACACGUGAGCAACCUGCCUUUCAGAGGGGAAUAACGAUUGGAAACGAUCGCUAAUACCGCAUAAUGCUGCGAGAGGACAUCCUCAUGCAGCCAAAGGAGUAAUCCGCUGAAAGAUGGGCUCGCGGCCGAUUAGAUAGUUGGUGAGGUAAUGGCUCACCAAGUCGACGAUCGGUAGCCGGACUGAGAGGUUGAUCGGCCACAUUGGGACUGAGACACGGCCCAGACUCCUACGGGAGGCAGCAGUGGGGGAUAUUGCACAAUGGAGGAAAAAACCUCUGAUGCAGCGACGCCGCGUGAGGGAAGACGGUCUUCGGAUUGUAAACCUCUGUCUUAGGGGAAGAAAAAUGACGGUACCCUAAGAGGAAGCUCCGGCUAACUACGUGCCAGCCGCAGC